This 736-nucleotide unclassified non-coding RNA is filed under the name Hevea brasiliensis (rubber tree). The record is from RNAcentral. Lineage: Eukaryota; Viridiplantae; Streptophyta; Magnoliopsida; Malpighiales; Euphorbiaceae.
GUGGAAGAAAAAUUAUAAGGUUAUGAAACACAUGAAUAUAUCAAGAUUACAGCCAAUUAAUUAAAGACCAAUUUACCUUAUAACAUAUAUAGAAUAUUCAUAGCCACUAAAAUUAUUGAUCUCUUAAAUUUGCUGCUUCUUCCUCUUAUUUGAUUUGAUGUUGAAUUUCACCAAAAAUAAAACAAUCCCAAGAAAAAUCCACCAAUUAAAAGUGAAAAUCCACUAGAAAAGCUUCUUUUUGCACCACCAAAAUCAUGGUCAACGGGGUACAAAUUUCCAGGUGGACCAGUCAUAUAUAUGUAUUGUGAAUUUGGAGGAUAGGGAAUAUUUGAACCACCACCACCUCCACCGCCGCCGCCGCCGGAAUAAGGAGGUGGAGGGCAAUCAUAGCCACUUGGUGGUUUCUUUGGCGGCGGCGGUGGUGAUGACGGUGGUGGUGGUGGAGGAGAAGGUGGAAUACAAGGUUUGUUACAAGGACAACCUCCACAUUUAUUUUCACCCUCAUCGAGUUUUCGUUGGUUUAGUCCAUUGGUUAUAGGUAUAGCCACCACAAAAAAUAAGAGAAAAAUCACAAAUCGCGACAUGUGUAAGAGAUUUGCUUGUGAAAACCUUUUGAAUGUGAAUUUCUUCUUCUUCUUUUUUUUCUUCCUUAGUAUGAGUGUAUGUGACUAAAUAUAGUAUGUUAACUAGUAAGAAAUGAAAAGUGUUUUUGGAGAAAUGAGAGUUUUGAUUUUGC